ACCCGUCUAGCUCAUCGUAGAGCGCUGGCCUUUUAAGCCAGUGGUCGUGGGUUCGAUCCCCACGGGGGGUG
RNAcentral lists this transfer RNA (71 nucleotides) under Phytophthora infestans (potato late blight agent). RNAcentral describes it as "tRNA-Lys". It matches the Rfam family "tRNA". Rfam says of the family: Transfer RNA (tRNA) molecules are approximately 80 nucleotides in length. The record is from RNAcentral. Lineage: Eukaryota; Oomycota; Peronosporomycetes; Peronosporales; Peronosporaceae.